Long non-coding RNA from Ixodes scapularis (black-legged tick), 388 nucleotides. RefSeq lists it as uncharacterized. Lineage: Eukaryota; Metazoa; Arthropoda; Arachnida; Ixodida; Ixodidae. The record is from RefSeq and is a predicted model, not a curated record. The transcript has 3 exons.
UCACCUGACAGCACAGGAGGCCUCGCGCACUCUUGAAGCAUCCGAGCGAGCGCAUGAUUUCCCGCAAUAUCUCGAGGAUCCUCGAGGCAAUCGAGCGGGCGAGGGACGCUUUUGCUCGCCGAAGAUCGAGUCCACACCGUGAUCGAGUCAUGACAGCCAAGAAACGUAGAUGGUGGGUUCGACCAAGCUUGCGCUACCGAAAUCUGGAAGGACAGGCCAGUGCUUUGCUGCCUCGCCUGCGCGCCACAGACGAAAUUUACUUUCGAGACUUCCUGCGAAUGGCACCCAGCACAUUUGAUUCCUUGCUGGAACUCAUCCGUCCAGCGAUCGAACGUAAGGUGACGCCGUUCCGCGACCCGAUAUCAGCACACGACCGGCUUGUUAUCAC